Molecule: long non-coding RNA, 495 nt
Organism: Procambarus clarkii (red swamp crayfish)
Lineage: Eukaryota; Metazoa; Arthropoda; Malacostraca; Decapoda; Cambaridae
Source: RefSeq, a predicted model, not a curated record
UCCAGUUGACUGACAGUCGAGAGGCGGAACUAAAGAACCGAAGCUCAAUCCCCGCAAGAACAACUUGGUCCCAUCGCAAUUCUUUAUUAUCGUUACAUUUAAAAAGAAAAUACAUUUAUAAUAAUAUGUUUCAAAUAAUUUAAGGCCUACUUGCAAUACGAUAUAAGAGAUGUUUAAGAGAUACACAGGAGUACAUAUUUACCGGGCCGAGAAGGCCAACAAAUAUUGUGGCCAUUGUCUCGCCGCUCCGCUCAGCUGUGUGUACUGUAGCCGGCCGACUCUCUCACCUUCUUCAACAACAACAACCCUCUUGAUCAUGAUUGAGAAAGCUCUUGGUUUGUUGCCCAUUGGAAGGCGACAAGUGCAGCAGUUACAGGCAUGGAUCCCCUCUGCAACAUUUUUUGGGGCUGGAGCUGCAACCCUUGGCCUUUAUUUUACUGACUGGAAAGCAGUUGCCAGAUUUAUUCCUUUUUAUGGUGGCAAGUUCAAAGAAGA